ACGCGGCGGCGUGCCUAAUACAUGCAAGUCGAGCGGGUUUACCCUUCGGGGUAAGCUAGCGGCGGACGGGUGAGUAACACGUAGGUAACCUGCCUAUAAGAUCGGGAUAACUAUCGGAAACGAUAGCUAAGACCGGAUAACUGGUUUUCUCGCAUGAGAGAAUUAUGAAACACGGAGCAAUCUGUGGCUUAUAGAUGGGCCUGCGGCGCAUUAGCUAGUUGGUAGGGUAACGGCCUACCAAGGCGACGAUGCGUAGCCGACCUGAGAGGGUGAACGGCCACACUGGGACUGAGACACGGCCCAGACUCCUACGGGAGGCAGCAGUAGGGAAUCUUCCGCAAUGGACGCAAGUCUGACGGAGCAACGCCGCGUGAGUGAUGAAGGUUUUCGGAUCGUAAAGCUCUGUUGCCCUAGACGAACAGCAAGGAGAGUAACUGCUCUUUGUGUGACGGUAUAGGAGAAGAAAGCCCCGGCUAACUACGUGCCAGCAGCCGCGGUAAUACGUAGGGGGCAAGCGUUGUCCGGAAUUAUUGGGCGUAAAGCGCGCGCAGGCGGUCAAUUAAGUUGGGUGUUUAAGCCCGGGGCUCAACCCCGGUUCGCAUCCAAAACUGGUUGACUUGAGUGUAGGAGAGGAAAGUGGAAUUCCACGUGUAGCGGUGAAAUGCGUAGAGAUGUGGAGGAACACCAGUGGCGAAGGCGACUUUCUGGCCUAUAACUGACGCUGAGGCGCGAAAGCGUGGGGAGCAAACAGGAUUAGAUACCCUGGUAGUCCACGCCGUAAACGAUGCAUACUAGGUGUUGGGGAUUCGAUUCCUCGGUGCCGAAGUUAACACAGUAAGUAUGCCGCCUG
This 850-nucleotide ribosomal RNA is filed under the name Paenibacillus sp. RNAcentral describes it as "bacterial SSU rRNA". It matches the Rfam family "Bacterial small subunit ribosomal RNA", at positions 33 to 875 of the family's 1533-position model. The record is from RNAcentral. Lineage: Bacteria; Bacillati; Bacillota; Bacilli; Caryophanales; Paenibacillaceae.